AAAAAGACAAACCCUGGGUUUCCGUGUCCAACGUUUGACUGUCCGUCUUAUAUGAUUUCAUUAUAUAAUUAGUAUUUUCAUUGUUCAUUAGAUGAUGUAACAUGAAUGAUACAUGAUGAGUGACUUGUCUUUUUAGUUUUUUUCAUAAUUUUAUCAUAUAAGACGGACGGUCAAACGUUGGACACGGAAACCCAGGGUUUGUCUUGUU
Molecule: microRNA precursor, 208 nt
Organism: Oryza sativa Indica Group (long-grained rice)
Lineage: Eukaryota; Viridiplantae; Streptophyta; Magnoliopsida; Poales; Poaceae
Rfam family: MIR812 microRNA precursor family
Source: Rfam